GGCUGGGUGGCGAAACUGGUAGACGCGCCAGACUCAAAAUUUGGUGGUGGUGACACCGUGCCGGUUCGAUUCCGGCCCCAGCUACCA
RNAcentral lists this transfer RNA (87 nucleotides) under Pseudomonadales bacterium. Its description in RNAcentral is "tRNA-Leu". It matches the Rfam family "tRNA". Rfam says of the family: Transfer RNA (tRNA) molecules are approximately 80 nucleotides in length. Their secondary structure includes four short double-helical elements and three loops (D, anti-codon, and T loops). Further hydrogen bonds mediate the characteristic L-shaped molecular structure. tRNAs have two regions of fundamental functional importance: the anti-codon, which is responsible for specific mRNA codon recognition, and the 3' end, to which the tRNAs corresponding amino acid is attached (by aminoacyl-tRNA synthetases). tRNAs cope with the degeneracy of the genetic code in two manners: having more than one tRNA (with a specific anti-codon) for a particular amino acid; and 'wobble' base-pairing, i.e. permitting non-standard base-pairing at the 3rd anti-codon position. Lineage: Bacteria; Pseudomonadati; Pseudomonadota; Gammaproteobacteria; Pseudomonadales. The record is from RNAcentral.